Molecule: ribosomal RNA, 468 nt
Filed under: uncultured bacterium
Lineage: Bacteria
Description: partial 16S ribosomal RNA
Rfam family: Bacterial small subunit ribosomal RNA
Source: RNAcentral
GACGAACGCUGGCGGCGUGCUUAACACAUGCAAGUCGAACGGAAGGGCCCUGCUUUUGUGGGGUGCUCGAGUGGCGAACGGGUGAGUAACACGUGAGUAACCUGCCCUUGACUUUGGGAUAACUUCAGGAAACUGGGGCUAAUACCGGAUAGGAGCUCCUGCUGCAUGGUGGGGGUUGGAAAGUUUCGGCGGUUGGGGAUGGACUCGCGGCUUAUCAGCUUGUUGGUGGGGUAGUGGCUUACCAAGGCUUUGACGGGUAGCCGGCCUGAGAGGGUGACCGGCGACAUUGGGACUGAGAUACGGCCCAGACUCCUACGGGAGGCAGCAGUGGGGAAUAUGGCACAAUGGGCGGAAGCCUGAUGCAGCAACGCCGCGUGCGGGAUGACGGCCUUCGGGUUGUAAACCGCUUUCGCCUGUGACGAAGCGUGAGUGACGGUAAUGGGUAAAGAAGCACCGGCUAACUACGUG